UUUCGGGGUUAGUGGCGGACGGGUGAGUAACACGUGGGAACGUGCCUUUUGGUUCGGAAUAGCUCCUGGAAACGGGUGGUAAUGCCGAAUGUGCCCUUCGGGGGAAAGAUUUAUCGCCAUUAGAGCGGCCCGCGUCUGAUUAGCUAGUUGGUGAGGUAAAGGCUCACCAAGGCUACGAUCAGUAGCUGGUCUGAGAGGAUGACCAGCCACAUUGGGACUGAGACACGGCCCAAACUCCUACGGGAGGCAGCAGUGGGGAAUCUUGCGCAAUGGGCGAAAGCCUGACGCAGCCAUGCCGCGUGAAUGAUGAAGGUCUUAGGAUUGUAAAAUUCUUUCACCGGGGACGAUAAUGACGGUACCCGGAGAAGAAGCCCCGGCUAACUUCGUGCCAGCAGCCGCGGUAAUACGAAGGGGGCUAGCGUUGCUCGGAAUUACUGGGCGUAAAGGGAGCGUAGGCGGACAUUUAAGUCAGGGGUGAAAUCCCAGAGCUCAACUCUGGAACUGCCUUUGAUACUGGAUGUCUUGAGUGUGAGAGAGGUAUGUGGAACUCCGAGUGUAGAGGUGAAAUUCGUAGAUAUUCGGAAGAACACCAGUGGCGAAGGCGACAUACUGGCUCAUUACUGACGCUGAGGCUCGAAAGCGUGGGGAGCAAACAGGAUUAGAUACCCUGGUA
Molecule: ribosomal RNA, 673 nt
Filed under: Brevundimonas sp. B448_3
Lineage: Bacteria; Pseudomonadati; Pseudomonadota; Alphaproteobacteria; Caulobacterales; Caulobacteraceae
Description: bacterial SSU rRNA
Rfam family: Bacterial small subunit ribosomal RNA
Source: RNAcentral